Molecule: ribosomal RNA, 639 nt
Filed under: Rhizochaete radicata
Lineage: Eukaryota; Fungi; Basidiomycota; Agaricomycetes; Polyporales; Phanerochaetaceae
Description: eukaryotic LSU rRNA
Rfam family: 5.8S ribosomal RNA (bases 220-373)
Source: RNAcentral
GACCUGCGGAAGGAUCAUUAUCGAGUUUUGAAACGGGUUGUUGCUGGCCUAGUUAAUAUACUGGGCAUGUGCACGCCUGACUCAUCCACUCUUUCAACCUCUGUGCACUUAUUGUAGGUUGGUAGUAAGGCUAAUUUUAAAUUAGCUGGAAGACCUUCCUACGUUUUACUAUAAACGCUUCAGUUAUAGAAUGUAUCUGCGUAUAACGCAUCUAUAUACAACUUUCAGCAACGGAUCUCUUGGCUCUCGCAUCGAUGAAGAACGCAGCGAAAUGCGAUAAGUAAUGUGAAUUGCAGAAUUCAGUGAAUCAUCGAAUCUUUGAACGCACCUUGCGCUCCCUGGUAUUCCGGGGAGCAUGCCUGUUUGAGUGUCAUGGAAUUCUCAAUCUUCAAUAUUUUUUAAAAAGAUUAUAUUGAAGACUUGGACUUGGAGGGUUAUGCUGGCUCUUGCUUAGUCGGCUCCUCUGAAAUGCAUUAGCGUGAAUGUUAUGGAUCGCCUUCGGUGUGAUAAUUAUCUGCGCCGUGGUCGUGAAGUAUAUUAUAUAUAUUCGCGCUUAUAGUCGUCCUUGAAAGGGACAAAUAUCUUGACUUUUGACCUCAAAUCAGGUAGGACUACCCGCUGAACUUAAGCAUAUCAAUA